GUAAUUCUUUAGAUUAUUUAACUCUGUUCAAUGUUACACAAUCUAAUAUAAGUGUAAUAAAGUAUAAAAUAUUGUUUCGUUUAUUCCAGUAUAUAUUAGAAUAUUACAGUGGUGACGAGGAUUUCAUUGGAUAAAAAACGCGUAAACUAAAUUAUUAGUGUUCGCUGAAGUUAUUAUUUUUUUUUUAUAUAUUUUUAUUUAAUUUUCUUUUGUUACUGCAUUGGACCUUGGUAUGGCACCAAAAAAGGAUCCUACAUGUACGGAAAACCCUCCUCAGUCGCAUCUGAGUGUAGUUCUGGCGUAAGUAGGAUAUCUGUCGCUAUAGACACGGCGCCUAAGCAUAAGAUAGGCGAAGAUUGGAAUUUGUAAAUUGAAACAGCCUUUCAAUUUACAAAUUGAUUCAGCCAAUCAAUUUUUUUCUGUCAAAUUUCAUUAAAGAAUAGCGCAAGUUCCCCGUGCUAACCAUAGUUAUUGGAUCUAAAGCCUAUGCGGUGUUACGCGAAUUAUGUGAUCCGGUACUACCGCGCAUACUAUUUAAUAUAAAGUUUUAUGCAAUUUAUUGCAAAAAAAGCUUACUAUUUUUAGAGAGUGUAUUAAAUUUUACGAUUUAAAAAAAAAUAUAAGUGAGUGUAUGGUAUGUACGAAUUAAGAAAACAGCUAUGACAUGUCAAUUUGGCGCCAACUUAGUAGAAAAAGUGUAAGACAAGUUUGUCACUGGAAUGGUUAAAGGGCAUAUAUUAGUCAGGCUAUUUGAAGAAGAGUGUUGAAAAGAGAAGCUGCAGUUGCUCAAUCAGGUAAUGAAUCAAUAGUAGUCAAUAAAUUUCAGCAAGGUUAUAAGAGUAAAACCAAGAUAGCAAGAGGACAUGCCAGUAAUAAGAAAAAAAGUUUAUAAUGGUAAUUCUACCUGUAACCAUUGCGGUAAGGUUUUAUUUAUCAUCUUUAUAAAUGUAAGCUUUGUAAUAACCAUGGACACAUAACUAUUGUUUGUAAAAAUAAAAAUAGUUUCAGAAAUAUAGUAUUAAGCAGUAUUGAUAAUAAUGACAACAGUAAAUUUAGUAAGCUAAAUUUCUUUAACAUUAGUAUGUUAAAUUUUGUCCCUCUAAAAUUUGUAAAAGUAAGAAUUAAUAAUAUUAAGGUUAAAAAUGGAUAUGGAUUCUGAGGCAGCCAUGUCAGUAAUAACAGAUAACUUUUUUUUAUAAUUGGCAUUUUACAUUUUUUGAAGGUUCAGUUUUAGAACGAUUAGGUGACUUCAAGGCAAAAGUUGAAUUUAAAGGUAAAACUGUUAAUGGAAAUUUUGUUGUAAUUAAAAGUCGUAAAAGCACAUCCUAUAUUUAGAAGGGAUCUUAUGAAGUUUUUAAUGUAUCAUUUCAAUUGGUGGUGUUAUGAGUAAUGUUAACAACUUAAAUGUAGAAGAUAGAGUAGUUCAGUGAUGUUUUUGAAAACAAAUUAGGGGAGAAUAAAAAUUUUGAAAUCCACUUAGAGAUUGAGGAUGGAGUUAGCCCAUUAUUUUGUAAGCUCUGGUUGGAUUAGAUAAAUUAGAUGAGGCUAGUGUAAUUAAAAAAGUGAUGACUGUGUCUGGGGCACACCACUGGAAACGGUGCGAUGCGGAUGGUAAUAUAUGGCUAUGUGCAUAUUAUAAAACAACUAACAAUAAGUAUAUUAAUAAUGUACAUAACACAUUCCCAAGAAUUGGUGAAUUAUUCGCUAGUAUGCAAGGAGGAAAGAAAUUUACUAAAUUAGAUUUCAAAAAAGCUUACAAUCUACUAAAAGUUGAUCAGAAAACGAGCAAGUUGUUAGCAUAGAGUACACAUAAAGGUGUUUAUUAGAUGUUAAGGUAUAUGGUAUUAAACCUGCCACAUCCUGUUUUCAGUGGGAAGUCGAAAAGGUUUUCCAAAACUGUUCUUUCACUGCUUGUUUGUUGUUAAUUUGAUAUUUACUGGUACAAAUACUGAAGAACACAUAAAAAAUGUCAUAGAAGUCCUAAAACGUAGUAGGGAAGCUGUUUUCAAGCUGAAUAGAAGUAAAUGUGAAUUUAAGUCAACUGUCAAAUAUCUUGGUCAUAAUUGAUGAAGAAGGUUUAAAGGCUAAAAGAUAAAGUAUCAGAUAUUGUAAAGGUAUCAACACCAUCAAGCAUAACAGAAGUUAAAUCCUUCUAAGGAACUAUUUUUUGAGCACUAUUCGAAGGAUCUAUUAUUUCAUUACUUGGGUUUUGCUCAAUACCAUAUUUGACAUUUGUAAUUUCAUUGUUAGCUGGUGUAUCUGGAAGACAUUCUUUUAGACCAAGGAAAAAUGCUGCUUCUGGACAUUUAUCACCCAAUGCUAAAAGACCAAGAGCAUGACGUUCAAUGAGAGAAAUAGGUGGUAGGUUAGAAUUAUGAAAUUUACUUUCUGGAACAGUCUCAUCAGUGAACAACGAUCAGCUAGUUUAAUUCCAUUUUUGGUAUUGUGUAACCAACGCCAUUCAGCUUGUGCCAUGUGAAAAUGACAAAGAAAUUGUUUAGCAGAAGGCCAUACAGAGUGCAAUGAGUUUUUUUCUGCCCUAGAAUCGUCACUCAUAAAAACCAUAGGUGUCUGCAUAGAUUUUGCUGUUUAAAUUGGAAUAUUCAUAAAUAAAAGUUUUAUAAUCUGUAUAUAAAACAGUAUACAAAAUGUCUUACACUGUUGCCCCCAAAACAAAGAGGAAAAUUAUCUUUCAAUAAAGUAAAUGCAUUUGUGUAACUUCUUUCGGAUUCUCCAUCAUGAAUAAGUAUUGCUAUUGGUAUGGCUCCAGCUUUAGAUGGUGUUAAAAUAACCGU
Daktulosphaira vitifoliae (grape phylloxera) is the source of this 2795-nucleotide long non-coding RNA. RefSeq lists it as uncharacterized. The transcript is spliced from 4 exons. The record is from RefSeq and is a predicted model, not a curated record. NCBI's taxonomy places the organism in Eukaryota, Metazoa, Arthropoda, Insecta, Hemiptera, Phylloxeridae.